GGUUAAGCGACUAAGCGUACACGGUGGAUGCCCUGGCAGUCAGAGGCGAUGAAGGGCGUGCUAAUCUGCGAUAAGCGCCGGUAAGGUGAUAUGAACCGUUAUAACCGGCGAUACCCGAAUGGGGAAACCCAGUGUGAUUCGUCACACUAUCAUUAACUGAAUCCAUAGGUUAAUGAGGCGAACCGGGGGAACUGAAACAUCUAAGUACCCCGAGGAAAAGAAAUCAACCGAGAUUCCCCCAGUAGCGGCGAGCGAACGGGGAGGAGCCCAGAGCCUGAAUCAGCAUGUGUGUUAGUGGAAGCGUCUGGAAAGGCGCGCGAUACAGGGUGACAGCCCCGUACACAAAAGCGCAUGUGCUGUGAGCUCGAUGAGUAGGGCGGGACACGUGGUAUCCUGUCUGAAUAUGGGGGGACCAUCCUCCAAGGCUAAAUACUCCUGACUGACCGAUAGUGAACCAGUACCGUGAGGGAAAGGCGAAAAGAACCCCGGCGAGGGGAGUGAAAAAGAACCUGAAACCGUGUACGUACAAGCAGUGGGAGCACCCUUUUGGGUGUGACUGCGUACCUUUUGUAUAAUGGGUCAGCGACUUAUAUUCUGUAGCAAGGUUAACCGAAUAGGGGAGCCGGAGGGAAACCGAGUCUUAAUUGGGCGUUAAGUUGCAGGGUAUAGACCCGAAACCCGGUGAUCUAGCCAUGGGCAGGUUGAAGGUUGGGUAACACUAACUGGAGGACCGAACCGACUAAUGUUGAAAAAUUAGCGGAUGACCUGUGGCUGGGGGUGAAAGGCCAAUCAAACCGGGAGAUAGCUGGUUCUCCCCGAAAGCUAUUUAGGUAGCGCCUCGUGAAUUCAUCUCCGGGGGUAGAGCACUGUUUCGGCUAGGGGGCCAUCCCGGCUUACCAACCCGAUGCAAACUGCGAAUACCGGAGAAUGUUAUCACGGGAGACACACGGCGGGUGCUAACGUCCGUCGUGAAGAGGGAAACAACCCAGACCGCCAGCUAAGGUCCCAAAGUCAUGGUUAAGUGGGAAACGAUGUGGGAAGGCCCAGACAGCCAGGAUGUUGGCUUAGAAGCAGCCAUCAUUUAAAGAAAGCGUAAUAGCUCACUGGUCGAGUCGGCCUGCGCGGAAGAUGUAACGGGGCUAAACCAUGCACCGAAGCUGCGGCAGCGACACUGUGUGUUGUUGGGUAGGGGAGCGUUCUGUAAGCCUGUGAAGGUGUGUCGUGAGGCAUGCUGGAGGUAUCAGAAGUGCGAAUGCUGACAUAAGUAACGAUAAAGCGGGUGAAAAGCCCGCUCGCCGGAAGACCAAGGGUUCCUGUCCAACGUUAAUCGGGGCAGGGUGAGUCGACCCCUAAGGCGAGGCCGAAAGGCGUAGUCGAUGGGAAACGGGUUAAUAUUCCCGUACUUGGUGUUACUGCGAAGGGGGGACGGAGAAGGCUAUGUUGGCCGGGCGACGGUUGUCCCGGUUUAAGCGUGUAGGCUGGUUUUCCAGGCAAAUCCGGAAAAUCAAGGCUGAGGCGUGACGACGAGGCACUACGGUGCUGAAGCAACAAAUGCCCUGCUUCCAGGAAAAGCCUCUAAGCAUCAGGUAACAUCAAAUCGUACCCCAAACCGACACAGGUGGUCAGGUAGAGAAUACCAAGGCGCUUGAGAGAACUCGGGUGAAGGAACUAGGCAAAAUGGUGCCGUAACUUCGGGAGAAGGCACGCUGACACGUAGGUGAAGUGAUUUACUCAUGGAGCUGAAGUCAGUCGAAGAUACCAGCUGGCUGCAACUGUUUAUUAAAAACACAGCACUGUGCAAACACGAAAGUGGACGUAUACGGUGUGACGCCUGCCCGGUGCCGGAAGGUUAAUUGAUGGGGUCAGCGCAAGCGAAGCUCCUGAUCGAAGCCCCGGUAAACGGCGGCCGUAACUAUAACGGUCCUAAGGUAGCGAAAUUCCUUGUCGGGUAAGUUCCGACCUGCACGAAUGGCGUAAUGAUGGCCAGGCUGUCUCCACCCGAGACUCAGUGAAAUUGAACUCGCUGUGAAGAUGCAGUGUACCCGCGGCAAGACGGAAAGACCCCGUGAACCUUUACUAUAGCUUGACACUGAACAUUGAGCCUUGAUGUGUAGGAUAGGUGGGAGGCUUUGAAGUGUGGACGCCAGUCUGCAUGGAGCCGACCUUGAAAUACCACCCUUUAAUGUUUGAUGUUCUAACGUGGACCCGUAAUCCGGGUUGCGGACAGUGUCUGGUGGGUAGUUUGACUGGGGCGGUCUCCUCCUAAAGAGUAACGGAGGAGCACGAAGGUUGGCUAAUCCUGGUCGGACAUCAGGAGGUUAGUGCAAUGGCAUAAGCCAGCUUGACUGCGAGCGUGACGGCGCGAGCAGGUGCGAAAGCAGGUCAUAGUGAUCCGGUGGUUCUGAAUGGAAGGGCCAUCGCUCAACGGAUAAAAGGUACUCCGGGGAUAACAGGCUGAUACCGCCCAAGAGUUCAUAUCGACGGCGGUGUUUGGCACCUCGAUGUCGGCUCAUCACAUCCUGGGGCUGAAGUAGGUCCCAAGGGUAUGGCUGUUCGCCAUUUAAAGUGGUACGCGAGCUGGGUUUAGAACGUCGUGAGACAGUUCGGUCCCUAUCUGCCGUGGGCGCUGGAGAACUGAGGGGGGCUGCUCCUAGUACGAGAGGACCGGAGUGGACGCAUCACUGGUGUUCGGGUUGUCAUGCCAAUGGCACUGCCCGGUAGCUAAAUGCGGAAGAGAUAAGUGCUGAAAGCAUCUAAGCACGAAACUUGCCCCGAGAUGAGUUCUCCCUGAGACUUAAAGUCUCCUGAAGGAACGUUGAAGACGACGACGUUGAUAGGCCGGGUGUGUAAGCGCAGCGAUGCGUUGAGCUAACCGGUACUAAUGAACCGUGAGGCUUAACCUU
This 2903-nucleotide ribosomal RNA is filed under the name Salmonella enterica subsp. enterica serovar Bareilly. RNAcentral's name for it is "23S ribosomal RNA". It matches the Rfam family "Bacterial large subunit ribosomal RNA". Lineage: Bacteria; Pseudomonadati; Pseudomonadota; Gammaproteobacteria; Enterobacterales; Enterobacteriaceae. The record is from RNAcentral.